Molecule: ribosomal RNA, 509 nt
Filed under: uncultured bacterium
Lineage: Bacteria
Description: partial 16S ribosomal RNA
Rfam family: Bacterial small subunit ribosomal RNA
Source: RNAcentral
GACGAACGCUGGCGGCGUGCCUAAUACAUGCAAGUCGAACGCUUCUUUCCUCCCGAGUGCUUGCACUCAAUUGGAAAGAGGAGUGGCGGACGGGUGAGUAACACGUGGGUAACCUACCCAUCAGAGGGGGAUAACACUUGGAAACAGGUGCUAAUACCGCAUAACAGUUUAUGCCGCAUGGCAUAAGAGUGAAAGGCGCUUUCGGGUGUCGCUGAUGGAUGGACCCGCGGUGCAUUAGCUAGUUGGUGAGGUAACGGCUCACCAAGGCCACGAUGCAUAGCCGACCUGAGAGGGUGAUCGGCAACACUGGGACUGAGACACGGCCCAGACUCCUACGGGAGGCAGCAGUAGGGAAUCUUCGGCAAUGGACGAAAGUCUGACCGAGCAACGCCGCGUGAGUGAAGAAGGUUUUCGGAUCGUAAAACUCUGUUGUUAGAGAAGAACAAGGACGUUAGUAACUGAACGUCCCCUGACGGUAUCUAACCAGAAAGCCACGGCUAACUACGUGC